RNAcentral lists this long non-coding RNA (1508 nucleotides) under Strigops habroptila (Kakapo). Its description in RNAcentral is "lncRNA (ENSSHBG00005015421.1)". The record is from RNAcentral. Lineage: Eukaryota; Metazoa; Chordata; Aves; Psittaciformes; Psittacidae.
GCUUGGCUUGAGCAUACGCUGAGUCCGUGUCUUUCAGUCCACCACAAAUGGCACCCGAACAGGGCUCUUAACAAUACCGGUGGCAGCUCCGUAACCGAACUAAAGAAGGACAGCAAAUUCUGACUUCAGAAUCCUAAGACGCGUGCACAGUUCUUCCUGUUGUAUAGGUCCUCAGUGGUUACCUGCUCAACACGUGAAGACAUACCAUGAGUUGGAAAGAAGUGGUAAACAACCCAGUGCCUCAGAUAACCAACCUGCAAAUUCAGAAGAAACCGGUGAAAAGGAAGCGGACGGCACAGAACAUCACAUGGGGGGACCUGAAGAAACUGGAUGAAGACGCAAGUAAAAUGAUGCAGCACAUUGGAGCAGAACCAAACCCUGUUAAUACCUUUUUGGCAUAUCUAGCCAUAGUGGCUAGCAACUCCAAGGUAAAAUGGGGAAAUUAGGUGUUUUUAAUGACUCUGCUAAUGAUCUUAUGGCCAGUUCAAGGUAAUGUAUACUGGGCACACAUAGCAGAUCCACUGUUGUUUAGGCCUGCUACUUGGUGGGAUCCAGAUCAUCCAAUUUCAAAGAACACCACACAGUGGGCUGGUGGGGUAUGGCUACCACUAUCGGGCCCGUUAUCAAAUCUUAAUGACUGGUUGAUGAUUAAUGAUACACAUGAGUUUCGAACAGAGUUACCUCCUAUGUGCUUUACUAGUAACAAUGAAUCAGAAGGAUGUGUACAAGUUCAGGGAACAAUGGCAUUUAGUUGCUAAAAAGGGGAAUUUAACAUUUUUUACCUUACCGGGUAUGCAGUCAAGUAUACAAGGAGCCUUUUCUGUAAAUGUUGCUGCUGAAGUUGAGAGUCUCAGCGAUAGUCUAACACAAUAAUUGAAACAAUUACAAAUUCUUACCCAAAAAAGUCUAAUGGAUGAUUUGGCUGACAGUGUAAAAUGGCUAAACCCUUCACCAUGGUUUUCUGGACUAAACUUAAGAAUUUGGAUAUUUGUUGGUAAUGGUAUUCUUGCUGUAAUAAUAAUGAUUUUUAUAGUCUUGCAGUUCCUAUGGAGAAUCACAAGAAGCUUGCAAAAAACGGAAGCAAGAGUGAUGGCGGCGCUGAUCACGUGACUGGCAAACAAAGAAGGGGGAAAUCUGGAGAGAACUUGCGAAACAUUGCAUGACCCAACGAAUGUAACUGUAUCUUUAAGAGCUUUAGCAAGAAGCAAAAAAAAGCAUAAAUAGUAUCUUGACAGGUCUUGACCAGCCUUUAUCAGGAGUUCAAAGCACAGCUGUGUGGGGGUGUGAAACAGGAAUGUGUGAUAGUGGUGGUCAAUUUAUGACUUGCUUAUGGAACACCAGAACAGGUCAGGUGACCCUUUGUCACAGAACACUGGGGCAGCGUUCGUAGUUUAAGGAAGAGUGUUCGCUGAGUACAUGAACACCCUUUUUGGCUGCAUAGUCAAGUUCCUGAAAUGUAACUAUAAAAGCAAGGCAGUGAAACAAAUAAACCGCUUGGCUUGAGCAUA